AAACUUGAGCUAAUACCGGAUACGCCCUUAGGGGGAAAGAUUUAUUGCCGAAGGAUUGGCCCGCGUCCGAUUAGCUAGUUGGUGAGGUAAUGGCUCACCAAGGCGACGAUCGGUAGCUGGUCUGAGAGGAUGAUCAGCCACACUGGGACUGAGACACGGCCCAGACUCCUACGGGAGGCAGCAGUGGGGAAUAUUGGACAAUGGGCGCAAGCCUGAUCCAGCCAUGCCGCGUGAGUGGUGAAGGCCCUAGGGUUGUAAAGCUCUUUCGCCAGGGACGAUAAUGACGGUACCUGGAUAAGAAGCCCCGGCUAACUUC
RNAcentral lists this ribosomal RNA (316 nucleotides) under uncultured Alphaproteobacteria bacterium. Its description in RNAcentral is "bacterial SSU rRNA". It matches the Rfam family "Bacterial small subunit ribosomal RNA", at positions 154 to 504 of the family's 1533-position model. The record is from RNAcentral. Lineage: Bacteria; Pseudomonadati; Pseudomonadota; Alphaproteobacteria.